CAUGGCUCAUACAAAGCAGACUGCCCUGCCAGCAAAUCCACCAGUGGUAAAACACCCAGGAAACAGCUAGCUACAAAAGUUGCUAGCAAGAGUGUGCUCUCUUCUGGAGGGAUGAAGAAACCUUAUUAUUACAGGCCUGGCACUGUGGCAGUCUUUGAAAUCAGGUGCUAUCAGAAGUCCACUGAAGGUGAGCAGUGGAGACAGAGGCAGGCAGAUUUCUGAAUUUGAGGCCAUCCUGUUCUAUAGCGUGAGUUCCAGGACAGCUAAAGUAACCCUGUCUCUAAAAACCAAAAAACUAAAAAACCAAAAAACUAAAAACAAACAAACAAACAAACAAACAACAACAACAACAACAACAACAAACAUAUCUCUGCUUCCAGGGUGCAGCUAUUGGUGCUUUGCAGGAGAUAAGUGAGGCCUAUCUGGUUGGCGUUUUUGAAGAUACCAACCUGUGUGCCAAAUUUAUAACAAUUAUGUCAAAAGGUAUCCAGCUAACACAUCGCAUAUGUGGAGAAUGUGCUUAA
This 524-nucleotide long non-coding RNA is filed under the name Mus musculus (house mouse). RNAcentral's name for it is "long non-coding RNA chrX:66972653-66973177". The record is from RNAcentral. Lineage: Eukaryota; Metazoa; Chordata; Mammalia; Rodentia; Muridae.